This is a non-coding RNA of Schizosaccharomyces pombe (fission yeast), 278 nucleotides long. The record is from the annotation of a GenBank genome assembly. NCBI's taxonomy places the organism in Eukaryota, Fungi, Ascomycota, Schizosaccharomycetes, Schizosaccharomycetales, Schizosaccharomycetaceae.
UAUUUAUUUAACUUUUCAUUUCAUAUCUAUCUUGUUUGGUUUGUGAUAAACUCUUUUUUGGGAAUACAUUGGGUUUAAACUCUGAUUUGUAAAUUUAUUUUUAUUUUUAUUCUUAUUUAUUUUGUCACAUCUUUACUUGAGUGUUCAUGCGACAUUUGGAAAAACGGUGCAAUUGAGCAAGGCUGAAUUACUUAUUUUUACAUUUAUUGACCACUUUUAUUGAAGCUAAGCUAUAUAAUGAAUGCAACGGUUAUGUGAGAUUGAGUAAGAAGUGUUAU